CUGAGAUCACCCUGGAGGAGAACUCCAAGGGUGGGCGGCUAAUGAGGGUUGGAGAAAGGUGGACCCAUGGGCGGUGGCUGCCCACGGCCUUUGAAGUUUCAUUUGCAGUGUUUUAUGAGCCCAUGCUGGAGUAAAUUGUACCUGCAGGCUGCUGCACUUUGCCCUCCCCAGCAAAAGGAGGUGGAAUUCACACUAGUAAUGUCUGGCUGGAGAACACCCUAGAUGAUGAAUCCAGUGAGGGUCAACAGCAGAGAGGAGCUGCCCAGCAGAGAGGAGCUGCCCACCACACCCUCCACCCCAUCUUCCUGAGCCUUCUGUGGAAGCACUGGUUUGCUAGCCUCUGAAGGGCCAUGGGCCCAGCACCAGGUGCCCUCAGCUCUGAGGCCAGGCCGUUACCUGCAUUCAAGAUGGACACUGGCUAGAGAAAGCAUGUCCACAGGGCUGGUCAGUAGGAAAGGGGUUGUGUUUCUGGAAGGGUGCAUCUAACCCAGGGGUUGGUGAGCAUUUUCCUAACCCAGGGCCAGGUAGUAAACAUUUUUGGCUUUGCCAGUCAUGCAGUCUCUGUCACAGCCACUGCACUCUACUACUUUAGCACAAAAGCAGCCAUAGGCAAUACAUUUAAAAAGACGAGCGUGACUGCGUUCCAAUAAAAUUUUAUUUAUAAAAAACAGACAGCAGGCUGGAUUUGACCUGUGUGUUGUAGUUUGCUAACCUUGCUGAGUAACAUCCCCUGACCCUCACUGGUGGGGCCUGUGUUUUUGCUUUCACAUUUAUUUCACUUGGCAUUCAGGGUAGCCACCAUACACCCCAUGCAAAUGACAAUCCAUAUUGGUCCAGACUUAGUUCCAGAUGAAACUCAUUACCAGAUAGUUCCCAGGCUCAGGGAUAUCAAAUGGGAUCCAGCAGACAGCCACUUCCCACUGAUAAGCAAGGAUUCCAGGUCUGAAGGGCAAAUGACGAAAGGGAACCUUCAGUCUGCAGAGAAAAGUCAGAAUCCUUGGCUCCCAAUCAGCAGGUCUUGCAGCAUCUCAGCCCUCACACAAAUCCCUGGGUCUCCAUGAUUGGGUGAGUCACUAAUGGGUUAACAGCUGAGCUCCAUCCUGAAGUUUGGCUCCAGUGCACCUUUAGAAUAACAACCUGGGUCUGGAUUAACAUUCAAGAAAACAACCCCUCAGGAAAGUGUUCUGUAAUAAAAGGAUCCUAUUUCCUCUCUGCCAGCUCCCACCUUUUUCUUUCAAGUCAAGUCUGAAGCAAGCUCAGAAACCUGUCAAGCUAUGAAUGAUGAGUCAGACAUUUAACCAAACAAAUUUGCUCUCCUGGUGCCACUUGACACCUGCAUGAGCCUGCAGUGGUGAAGGUGGGGUUUGUGAAGAGGCAGCAGCCUCCAUGGAUGAGGUCUUGCACAAACGCUCAUCUACAUUAAGGAAGUAGCGUGGCCAGCCACAGCUUCAGCCCAGAUGAGGAAACUGAGGCUCAGAAAGAUGACGAUUCUCUAAUGACACAAAGCUAGUCUAUCAAUCUGUUCUCACACUGUUAUAAAGAUAUACCUGAGACUGAGUAAUUUAUGGAGAAAAGAGAUUUAGUUGACUCACAGUUCUGCGGGCUAGACAGGAGGCAUGGCUGGGGAGACCUCAGGAAACUUACAAUCAUGGUGGAAGGCAAAGGGGAAGUAGGUACAAUCUUCACACAGUAAGGAAGGAGAGAGAGAGAGAGAGAGACAGCAAAGCAGGGAAGUGCUACACACUUUCAAACAACCAGAUCUCAUGAGAACUCUGUCACAAGAACAGCAAGGAGAAUGUUCACCCCCAUGAUUCAAUCACCUUCCACCAGGUCCUUCUCUCAACAUUGGGGAUUACAAUUCAACGUGAGAUUUAGGUGGGGACACAGAGCCAAACCAUAUCAGCUAGAAAGUAGCAGAGACGGGGUAGAAUCCACUCCCCUGUCUCCCAGGGCACUGCUGCCUCUGCUCUGCCAGCUGGAGAGUCCUUCUACUCUGAUCCGGAUCACUCCAUGAGGAGCUAGAAGAGAAGGUGGAGACGGUAUGAAUAUUGGGGUAUAACCUGGAGUAGCUCCAGAGUAAUUGUAAUUUGAUUCAAAUCAAAUCCAGAUACUGAUACUGCCUUCCCAGAAAUAUGGUCUACCAGACUGGGCCAUGAGCAAAAUGGAAUCCUUAUACCCACGUUAGGCAACCAGGUUGAAUUUGUUGAGGUUGAAUUUGUUGAGCUAUGCAUUGCAUGGAUUCACCUCAUAGGCACUUCAGGCAAGUGAGGCUCCAAGUGCAUACUUCCUAUAAUUUUAUUAAUACUCAUGAUUGCCCCUAGGGAUUUAUGCCCAGAUGGAAAUGGAGGGCAGCCUAUUUACACUGAGUGAAAUUCUGUCAUAUGGGAAAAAGAGGAUAAAAGAAUGAAGGCCUGGUGCAGUGGCUCACGCCUGUAAUCCCAACACUUUGGAAGCCCGAGACGGGAGAAUUGCUUGGGCCUAAGGAGUUCAAGAUCAACCUGGGCAAUGUAGUGAGGCCUUGUCUUCUUGAAAAAUAAAAAAAUUAGCCAGGCAUGAUGGCAUGUGCACCUGUAGUCCCAGCUACUCAGGAAGCAGAGGUAGGAGGAUAACCUGAGCGCAGGAGGUCAAGGCUGUGGUAAGCCAAGAUAGCACAACUGCACUCCAGCCUGGGUGACAGACUGAGGCCCCUAUCUCAAAAAUAAAUAAAUAAAUAAAAAAUAAAAGACUGGAAACCUUCCAGUACAUACUAGGAGCUUAUAAAAGUUCAUAUUCUUUGACUUGAAGUUGUAGAUUGCUUUCAAACUGGCCCUGCAUCUCUGCCCCUCCCUGUGUUAGGAUGUCAUUUAUAUAGCUCCUCUUAUCAAAGGAUGGAGUCUAGUUCCCCACUCCUUGAAUCUGGGCUGGCCUUGUGACUGACUUAGACAAUAGAAUGCACCAGAAAUGAGGAUGUGCCAAUUUUAAGCCUUGCACACUUCUGCUUGCUCUCUUGGAACCCUGUCCAACUCUAAUGUGACAAGCCAGUGCCAGCCUGCUGAAGGAUGAGACCACAUGAAGCAGAGACAAGCUGUCCUAGCUGCCUCCAGCUUAAACAAGCUAGCCCCUGCCCCAUCUAGCCCCUAACUACAAAUGCAUGGUUCAGCCCUGUCUAGAUUGUAAGAACCAUCUAGAUGAAGCCAACCUAAAUUACUGACCCCAGAACUGUGAGGUAAACAAUUGUGGUUAUUUUAAGUCAGUAAGUUUUGGCCUAGUUUGUUUUGCAAAAGCUGUGUGAUGUACUCAGUAACUUUUUAGAUAGAAACCCAUUCUAGUGAUAUAGUCAGAAGUUCAAGCAGAAUGUGUAUAUAUUUAAAACUCAUCUCAGUGUUGAUUAUGAGCAAAUACAAUUUCUGUAAAAACCUAAAUAACUUAUAAUAAGGGAUUGGCAAAAUAAAUCUUGUAUCCGUAUAAUGCAAUUGUGUAAUGUAGCCAGUUAAAUGCACAGAAAUGGAGUAAUUUAUACUGCCACACAUUGCAUACACUGCAGAGGACUCUAAGUAUAAAAAGAAAUGGGGGAGGUCUCAAUAGCCUGCAGUGAUCUCCAGGUUGCUGGGUUUUAAAAAAAAGGUUUAUAAAGUUUGCAUAGCUGAGUUAGAGAGAGAGAAGAAUGAAUAGCUGGAACACAGAGGAUUUUUAGGGCAGUGAAACUAUUCUGUACGAUACUAUAGUGGUAGAUACAUGUAAUUUUACCUUUGUCCAGACCCAUAGAAUGUACAACACCAAGAGUGAACCCUAACGUAAACUAUAGAUUUUGGAUGAUAAUGAUGUGUCAAUGUUGGUUCAUCCAUUGUAGCAAAUGGUCCACUCUGGUAGGGGAUGUUCAUCCUAAGAGAUAUGCAUGUGUGGGGGUAGAGGGCAUAUGGGAACUCUCUCGUAAACCUAAAACUGCUCUAAAAAAUAAAGUCUAUUUUUAAAAAAAGUUUGCAUAACUUAUCUGGAAAAGGGGAAUAUAGCAAAUAUAUAUUUGCUUAUGUUUUAAAAUGGAAGGGAAGAACAAAACUAUUUUUAAAUGGAAGGGGAAAGAAUAGGGUAAAAAAAAUACAGAAAUGGAAGCUAGACUUUUCUAAAUGCACCGUGGUUUAUAGAUUUGAGUUAGGGACUAUGUAAAUAUUUUAUGCAAUUUUGAAAUUAAAAUGUUUUAAAUUCCUAAAGAUAAAAACCAAAAUGAAAUAGAAGAAUUUGACACUGUAUGGAAUUGGUGGCAUAACCACAUAGGAGCUAUUUCUUUUUUUUUUUUUUUUGAGAUGAAUCUCACUUUGCUGCCCAGGCUGAAGUGCAGUGGUGCGAUCUCGACUCACUGCAACCUCUGCCUCCUGUGUUCAAGCGAUUCUCCUGCCUCAGCCUCCAGAGUAGCUAGAACCACAGGCAUGUGCCACCACACCUGGCUAAUUUUUGUAUUUUUUGUAGAAACGGGGUUUCACCAUGUUGGCCAGGCUAGUCUAGAACUCCUGACCUCAAGUGAUGCACCCGCCUCAGCCUCCCAAAGUGCUGGGAUUACAGGUAUGAGCCACUGAGCCUGGCCAAGAGCUAUUUCAAAUGACUUUAAAAUACAGUACAUGUGCUAGGCUGUUCUUGCAUUACUAUAAAGAAAUACCUGAGACUGGAUAAUUUAUUUUAAAAAAAAAGAGGUUUAAUCUGCUCAUGAUUCUGCAAACUGUACAGUCAUGGCACUGGCAU
This 4713-nucleotide long non-coding RNA is filed under the name Homo sapiens (human). RNAcentral's name for it is "HSALNT0319180". The record is from RNAcentral. Lineage: Eukaryota; Metazoa; Chordata; Mammalia; Primates; Hominidae.